RNAcentral lists this unclassified non-coding RNA (354 nucleotides) under soil metagenome. Its description in RNAcentral is "partial contains 5.8S ribosomal RNA, internal transcribed spacer 2, and large subunit ribosomal RNA". The stretch from base 1 to 120 matches the Rfam family "5.8S ribosomal RNA", at positions 35 to 154 of the family's 154-position model. The record is from RNAcentral.
GAUGAAGAACGCAGUGAAAUGCGAUAAGUAGUGUGAAUUGCAGAAUUCAGUGAAUCAUCGAAUCUUUGAACGCACAUUGCGCCUCCUGGUAUUCCGGGAGGCAUGCCUGUUCGAGCGUCAUUAAAAUCACUCAAGCUUAGGUUUACCUAUUGCUUGGUCUUGGAGAUGGAAGCCAAUUCAUUGGAAUCCUCUUCGAAAUCCAAUGGCGAAGACCCUUGCUCUCCCAAGUGUAGUAAUAACUUAUGUCACUGAAGGAAGCGAGAAAUCUUCCGCCGUAACCCCCAUAUUUUCUAUGAUUGACCUCGGAUCAGGUAGGGAUACCCGCUGAACUUAAGCAUAUCAAUAAGCGGAGGA